RNAcentral lists this ribosomal RNA (760 nucleotides) under uncultured Prevotella sp. Its description in RNAcentral is "bacterial SSU rRNA". It matches the Rfam family "Bacterial small subunit ribosomal RNA", at positions 28 to 776 of the family's 1533-position model. The record is from RNAcentral. Lineage: Bacteria; Pseudomonadati; Bacteroidota; Bacteroidia; Bacteroidales; Prevotellaceae.
GAUGAACGCUGGCUACAGGCUUAACACAUGCAAGUCGAGGGGAAACGACGGGGAAGCUUGCUUCCCCGGGCGUCGACCGGCGCACGGGUGAGUAACGCGUAUCCAACCUGCCUCUGACUGAGGGAUAACCCGUCGAAAGUCGGCCUAAUACCUCAUGGCAUCGUCUGCGGGCAUCCAACGACGAUUAAAGAUUUCAUCGGUCAGGGAUGGGGAUGCGUCUGAUUAGCUAGUUGGCGGGGUAACGGCCCACCAAGGCUACGAUCAGUAGGGGUUCUGAGAGGAAGGUCCCCCACAUUGGAACUGAGACACGGUCCAAACUCCUACGGGAGGCAGCAGUGAGGAAUAUUGGUCAAUGGGCGAGAGCCUGAACCAGCCAAGUAGCGUGCAGGAUGACGGCCCUAUGGGUUGUAAACUGCUUUUAUGCGGGGAUAAAGUGAGGGACGUGUCCUUCAUUGCAGGUACCGCAUGAAUAAGGACCGGCUAAUUCCGUGCCAGCAGCCGCGGUAAUACGGAAGGUCCAGGCGUUAUCCGGAUUUAUUGGGUUUAAAGGGAGCGUAGGCCGUGGAUUAAGCGUGUUGUGAAAUGCAGGUGCUCAACGUCUGCACUGCAGCGCGAACUGGUCCACUUGAGUGUGCGCAACGCAGGCGGAAUUCGUCGUGUAGCGGUGAAAUGCUUAGAUAUGACGAAGAACUCCGAUUGCGAAGGCAGCUUGCGGGAGCACAACUGACGCUGAAGCUCGAAAGUGCGGGUAUCGAACAGG